This 1485-nucleotide ribosomal RNA is filed under the name uncultured marine bacterium. RNAcentral describes it as "16S ribosomal RNA". It matches the Rfam family "Bacterial small subunit ribosomal RNA". The record is from RNAcentral.
GAGUUUGAUCAUGGCUCAGAUUGAACGCUGGCGGUAGGCUUAACACAUGCAAGUCGUGCGAGAAAGUAUCUUCGGAUAUGAGUAGAGCGGCGGACGGGUGAGUAACGCGUAGGAAUCUACCUAGUAGAAGGGGAUAGCCCGGGGAAACCCGGAUUAAUACCGUAUACCUCCUUCGGGAGAAAGAAGGCCUCUCUUUGAAGCUUUCGCUACUAGAUGAGCCUGCGUAAGAUUAGCUUGUUGGUGAGGUAAAGGCUCACCAAGGCGACGAUCUUUAGCUGGUCUGAGAGGACGAUCAGCCACAUUGGGACUGAGACACGGCCCAGACUCCUACGGGAGGCAGCAGUGGGGAAUAUUGGACAAUGGGCGCAAGCCUGAUCCAGCCAUACCGCGUGUGUGAAGAAGGCCUUCGGGUUGUAAAGCACUUUAAGCAGGGAGAAAAAGUUAUAAGUUAAUACCUUAUAACCCUGAUGUUACCUGCAGAAUAAGCACCGGCUAAUUCCGUGCCAGCAGCCGCGGUAAUACGGAAGGUGCAAGCGUUAAUCGGAAUUACUGGGGCGUAAGCGCGCGUAGGUGGUUUGUAAGUUUGAUGUGAAAGCCCUGGGGCUCACCUAGGGACUGCAUCCAAACUAACUCACUAGAGUACGAUAGAGGGAGGUAGAAUUCAUAGUGUAGCGGUGGAAUGCGUAGAUAUAUGAAGAAUACCAGUGCGAAAGGCGGCCUCCUGGAUCUGUACUGACACUGAGGUGCGAAAGUGUGGGUAGCGAACAGGAUUAGAUACCCUGGUAGUCCACGCCGUAAACGAUGACAACUAGCUGUUGGGAGACUAUGUCUUUCAGUGGCGCAGCUAACGCUUUAGGUUGUCCGCCUGGGGAGUACGGCCGCAAGGUUAAAACUCAAAUGAAUUGACGGGGACCCGCACAAGUAGUGGAGCAUGUGGUUUAAUUCGAAGAUACGCGCAGAACCUUACCAACACUUGACAUGUUCGUCGCGACUCUAAGAGAUUAGAGUUUUCGGUUCGGCCGGACGAAACACAGGUGCUGCAUGGCUGUCGUCAGCUCGUGUCGUGAGAUGUUGGGUUAAGUCCCGCAACGAGCGCAACCCUCACUUUUAGUUGCCAUCAUUAAGUUGGGCACUCUGAAAGAACUGCCAGUGAUAAGCUGGAGGAAGGUGGGGAUGACGUCAAGUCCUCAUGGCCCUUACGUGUUGGGCUACACACGUGCUACAAUGGCAUCUACAACAGGAAGCAAAACGGCAACGUUAAGCAAAUCCCGAAAAGAUGCCUCAGUUCGGAUUGCACUCUGCAACUCGAGUGCAUGAAGCUGGAAUUACUAGUAAUCGUGGAUCAGCGUGCCACGGUGAAUGCGUUCCCGGGUCUUGUACACACCGCCCGUCACACCAUGGGAGUUGGUUCUACCUUAAGGCAAGGUUUUAAACCCUUGACCACGGUAUAGUCAGCGACUGGGGUGAAGUCGUAACAAGGUAACC